This is a long non-coding RNA of Gasterosteus aculeatus aculeatus (three-spined stickleback), 745 nucleotides long. Lineage: Eukaryota; Metazoa; Chordata; Actinopteri; Perciformes; Gasterosteidae. The record is from Ensembl.
GGCCAUUUCUACCCACUGACCUUGGAGAGCGAGAGGGAGGGAGGGAGGGAGGGAGGCAUCAACAUACUGACGUGGUUCCAUAAACUGCAGGUCUCUCUCUCUCUCUUCAGCCACUCGUUUCUUUAGUCUGCCUCUAAAAGACAGGAAGACAAGCGGAGCCGGGAGGAGGAGGAGGAGUGUGUAAGGAAAUCCUGUGACUCAUGAGAAAAGAGGAUACCUGCCGUUUCACUGAUCCCAGCACAGAUUGAGAAACACUCGUUUAGAGAAGAUCAGCAGACAUCAGCGAGAUGCCGUGGACUGUAGGCCGGUAUUUGGUGGAGUGGACUGUAGGAUCAUGCUUUCAAAUUGUCAACGUGAAGGCACGUUCGUCCUUGGGCCGUGCUCCUGAACUGACUCAUUGUGGAGGAUGAAGAACGGGACCAAUCACGGCCGCUCCGUGUGAAUGCACUGAACCGUCGUGACCUCGGCCUCCCGCUGGGUCAACGAGUCCACGUCGGCCCGUAAGGGUCUCGAUUAAAAUGUCAUGUUGCGUCGGUCAAGGACACUUCAGCUCUGAUGCAGAAUGAGCAAAUAGCACCUGAGCCCGGUUUAUGUUGUCCUAUGUGAUAAGCUCAAGAAAAGGAUCAAUCAAGUUGUUGUUGUUUUUUUCUAUAUUAUUAAGAAACAUAUUUCCAGAAGAUCUUUUUUUAUUUGUUCUGCAGGAGAGCGUCAUACAGUACAUACAUCUGUCAGACCAAUGACAUGC